AAAAAGGCCCUUGUCAGUGGCCAGGGCCACCCAUAUGCAUAUACAGGUAGUAU
Sus scrofa (pig) is the source of this 53-nucleotide non-coding RNA. NCBI's taxonomy places the organism in Eukaryota, Metazoa, Chordata, Mammalia, Artiodactyla, Suidae. The record is from Rfam.